RNAcentral lists this ribosomal RNA (253 nucleotides) under uncultured bacterium. RNAcentral's name for it is "partial 16S ribosomal RNA". It matches the Rfam family "Bacterial small subunit ribosomal RNA", at positions 524 to 776 of the family's 1533-position model. The record is from RNAcentral.
UACGUAGGUGGCGAGCGUUGUCCGGAUUUACUGGGCGUAAAGGGAGCGUAGGCGGACUUUUAAGUGAGAUGUGAAAUACUCGGGCUCAACUUGAGUGCUGCAUUUCAAACUGGAAGUCUAGAGUGCAGGAGAGGAGAAUGGAAUUCCUAGUGUAGCGGUGAAAUGCGUAGAGAUUAGGAAGAACACCAGUGGCGAAGGCGAUUCUCUGGACUGUAAAUGACGCUGAGGCUCGAAAGCGUGGGGAGCAAACAGG